UAUAAGAUGCCUGAUAAAAAGGAUAAUUUUGAUAGAAUUAAUAAUGUGAAUUUUCACUCUUAUAG
RNAcentral lists this transfer RNA (65 nucleotides) under Longitarsus tabidus. RNAcentral describes it as "tRNA-Ile". Lineage: Eukaryota; Metazoa; Arthropoda; Insecta; Coleoptera; Chrysomelidae. The record is from RNAcentral.